Molecule: long non-coding RNA, 312 nt
Filed under: Setaria viridis
Lineage: Eukaryota; Viridiplantae; Streptophyta; Magnoliopsida; Poales; Poaceae
Description: long non-coding RNA (SVIR_LNC007589)
Source: RNAcentral
UCACGGUGGCCGCUGGUGUCAGGGAGAUGGCCAGCGACGUCAGGGAGGAAGUGAGGGGAGGGGCCUGUGGCCUCAGCUCACGGGCUGGGUUAGGGCUGGUGUUGGAGAGGAAGAGGCGGACCCGUGGUGGAGAUGGGGGCAUGACCGGUGGUGGAGACGGGGUGGUGGAGGACGGCGGCGCAUGGGUGAGCGAUGGCAGCUUCAAGGAGUUGGCAUCGGGGAGGGGGCCGUAGUGGUGCUCCGGGAGGUGCGGCAAUGUACGAGUGAGUGGUGGCGGCAUCGAGGAAUGCGGUGGUGGAGAUGGGGCAUGGC